UUUGCUCACCCAAAAUUGAAAAACUCUUAUUUGUACACAGACACAAUCUUUCUCAUCCCAACAAAACCCACCGCCCCCUCUCUGUUCAGUCCUUGCCGUGAAAGAAUCCAAUUUACUGUCGAGAAAAAUCCUAGAAAAAUUCCACCCUCUCUUCCAUCUUCUUCUAUACCUCGAUCUGGUUCGCCACUACAAACCACCACCCAGCUGCCGAUAAAUAGAUCCACCCAUUCUAAGGCACAACUGCGCCGCUUUUUUUUAUUUCGCUCUCACCGGAAGAAGCCUGCGUCACCGGAAAAUCCCACUCUUUGGAAAAAUCCCACUACCGUUGUUGGCCACCCCGUCUUCUCUUUUCUUAGGGUUGAUAUUGACGUUUGAGUGAGUAUGACGACAAGUAGCGAUCGAGGAUGGAUGUAUAAGAGGCAAGAGAGUCUCAGAUUUCUUUGUAUGCUUUAUGUUAGAAAAGCUGCACAAUUUUUAGACUUUGCAUACUUGAACGAGGAGACUGUUGAAAGUAAGUUAACAAGAGAAGGUGGGAUAGUAUGCCGAAUCAAAUGUUACACAACAACAAUCACAGGUACAAAUUUUGACCCAAACUAUGGCGGAAAUGCGGGAAAGACAUGAGACACAACAAAGGGAGAUUGUCGAGAUGAAAAAGCGUGUAGAAAAGCAAAAAAGGAAACUAGAAGGUUUUGAAAGCAAAAAGUAAAGCCGGAACAAAGAAAUAAAAGCGACCAUCGCCGCCGUGAUGAAGUUCUUACCCAAUAUGAAGCCACCGGCCUAAAUCUAAAGAUUUAUUAAAAACUUAUUAGUUUGAAUUAUCUUUAAAAUUUUAACUUUUUAAUGAUGUGAAUGAAUGUUUUGUUGACGGAUAUAUUUUUAUUCUUAGGUAAUGGAUUAUAUGUAUUUUCGUAGUUCAGAUAUUGAUUGAUUAGUUGGUUUA
Molecule: long non-coding RNA, 940 nt
Organism: Erigeron canadensis
Lineage: Eukaryota; Viridiplantae; Streptophyta; Magnoliopsida; Asterales; Asteraceae
Exons: 3
Source: RefSeq, a predicted model, not a curated record